AAACGGUCUCCCUCACAGAGAAAAUUAUUUGUGCAAAGAUAGAAUUCCUGGAAAAUUCGUCCUCCCAAACUUGUACCAUUUGCUUGCCAAAGUCAAUUUUCAAAGGCUACUCAAAUCUUCUUAUCAGAAGAUGUAUGUAACUCUUGAUGAAUAUCUUCGCUAAAUUUCUUACUUAUGGUCACCUUGAUUUUAUUGGCAAUCUAAAAGGUCAGUUGGUCAGGUAUGCAUAUAUGAUUAUUCAAAAUUCUGAGAAUUAUUUGCUUAUGUUGUGGUUACUCAUUUAUAAUAAUAUGGAGGGGAAUUUUCUUUGUCUAGCCCUAAUACAGAUUAAAUUUAUCUUUUUUUCUUAAAACACAUUUUUUUUGUUUUGUAUAUGACUAUAAUUUCUUACCCAAUAGUUGUUAGGUGUUUUGCCCUGAUUUUCUUACCAAAUUUGAGUUUUACUUUUCUCUUGAAGGAAAGUCAAAGUAUUACCAUAAUUGCUUUUACUUUUCUUGAAAGGAAAAUAUAAUUCUCUUCCAUAUUUGGAUAAUUCUUGUCUUGGAGGAAAAGUUUUGUACAUCUAUAUAUUGAAGACAUCUUUCCCACAACUAGAACACAAUAGCAUCCAUAAUGUACUCGUUUAGAGAGUCUUGUUUAUGGGGAGAUUAUUCUCUCCACAGUUUUAUAUCUUUCUUUAUAUUAGUUUUCGAUAUGUAGGUCAAUUGACCAAAUCAUAUUAUAAUAUUAUGUUUUUUAGUAUAUUUUCUUUGUUGUCCAAUUUAUCGUCGUUAAGGUUUGCAAUUGUAAGCUUCCGCAUGACGCUCUGAUUAUUUCGAUCCCAACAAGUGGUAUCAGAGCCGAUGGUUCAACCAAUGGUUUAGCGGGUUGAAGACAGGUUCAUAGCGUGUUCUGAUCAAGCUGCAAUUGAUUUCGCGAUAAUGAAGAUUUUAUCUAGGAGUACUACAUGUGGAGAUGAAUUUCAAUCAUAAUUUCAACAUUCCUGCUGCUGCAUCUUUAAAAAUAAAGCAAAAUAUUUUUAAACUAAUUUUUAACCCAUAAUAUUUUUAACCUUAUUUUUAACCAUGACAAGCAGUAGUAAUGAAGAUUAUGUGAAGAAGCUGGAUGAAGUUUUGUUAAGAAAAUCCAGGCCAAAAGGGGAGAUUUGUUAGGGGCUUUGCCUUGAUUUUCUUACUAAAUUUGAGUUUUACUUUUCCCUUGAAGGAAAGUCAAAGUAUUACCAUAAUUGCUUUUACUUUUCUUGAAAAGAAAAUAUAAUUAUCUUUCAUAUUUGGCUAAUUCUUGUCUUGGAGGAAAAGUUUUGUACAUCUAUAAAUUGAAGACAUCCUUCCCACAACUAGAACACAAUAGCAUCCACAAUGUACUCGUUUAGAGAGUCUUGUUUAUGGGGAGAUUAUUCUCUCCACAGUUUUAUAUCUUUCUUUAUAUUAGUUUUCGAUAUGUAGGUCAAUUGACCAAAUCAUAUUAUAAUAUUAUGCUUUUUAGUAUAUUU
This is a long non-coding RNA of Lycium ferocissimum, 1492 nucleotides long. RefSeq lists it as uncharacterized. Lineage: Eukaryota; Viridiplantae; Streptophyta; Magnoliopsida; Solanales; Solanaceae. The record is from RefSeq and is a predicted model, not a curated record. The transcript is spliced from 2 exons.